Lates calcarifer (barramundi perch) is the source of this 258-nucleotide long non-coding RNA. RefSeq lists it as uncharacterized. The transcript has 3 exons. The record is from RefSeq and is a predicted model, not a curated record. Lineage: Eukaryota; Metazoa; Chordata; Actinopteri; Centropomidae.
UGAGGAUCACAGAGCUCACCCCAUAAAUGAAAAACUGUAUGAAAUGUCACUUAAGCCUUUAACUUCUCAUGGUUGCAUUCAGCUGGUGCUGUCAAGCACGUGAUGCAGAACCUGGGAUUCACUAAUCAAGAGGUGAUGUUGAGAAGAAGCCUCGAGACAUGACGGGAGAUAAAGAGGAGGGAUAGAAAAACACUGCAACCCUCUCUGAACUAAACAUCCUGCUCUUCACGAAGUAAGUGGUCUUUCUCCCUUUUUUUC